RNAcentral lists this ribosomal RNA (429 nucleotides) under Gemmatimonadota bacterium. RNAcentral's name for it is "Gemmatimonadetes bacterium partial 16S ribosomal RNA". It matches the Rfam family "Bacterial small subunit ribosomal RNA", at positions 355 to 776 of the family's 1533-position model. Lineage: Bacteria; Pseudomonadati; Gemmatimonadota. The record is from RNAcentral.
UAGGGAAUCUUCGGCAAUGGACGAAAGUCUGACCGAGCAACGCCGCGUGAGUGAAGAAGGUUUUCGGCUCGUAAAACUCUGUUGUUCGAGAAGAACAAGGACGUUAGUAACUGAACGUCCCCUGACGGUAUCUAACCAGAAAGCCACGGCUAACUACGUGCCAGCAGCCGCGGUAAUACGUAGGUGGCAAGCGUUUUCCGGAUUUAUUGGGCGUAAAGCGAGCGCAGGCGGUUUCUUAAGUCUGAUGUGAAAGCCCCCGGCUCAACCGGGGAGGGUGAUUGGAAACGGGGGGACUUGGGUGCAGAAGAGGAGAGUGGAAUUCCAUGUGGAGCAGGGAAAUGCGUAGAUAUAUGGCGGAACAGCAGUGGCGAAGGCGGCUCUCUGGUCUGUAACUGAAGCUGAGGCACGAAAGCGUGGGGAGCAAACAGG